UUUUUUUCAAAACAUGUUCUAAUGUUUUAUCUUUAUUAGAUUUAACCUGCUCAAUGAUUUAUUUAAUUAAAUAGCCGCAGUAUUUUGACUGUGCGAAGGUAGCAUAAUCAUUUGUCUUUUAAUUGAAGGCUUGUAUGAAUGGUUGGAUGAGGAAAUAACUUUCUUUAUAUUAUUAAAUUGAAUUUAAUUUUUUAGUUAAAAAGCUUAAAUUUUUAAAUGGGACGAGAAGACCCUAUAGAAUUUUAUUUUUAAUAAAUAUUUAAUUUUUUUGUUAAUUAUUUUUUUUUAUUUAUUAAGAAUUUUGUUGGGGUGACCGUGAGAUUUUUUUAACUCUCACAAUUUAUUAAUUAUUAAUGAUUAUAUUAAAGAUCCUAUAUUAUGGAAAAUUAGAUUAAAUUACCUUAGGGAUAACAGCGUAAUUUUCUUGGAGAGUUCUUAUCGAUGAGGAAGUUUGCGACCUCGAUGUUGGAUUAAAAAUAGAAUUAAGUGCAGUAGCUUAAAUGUCUAGGUCUGUUCGACCUUUAAAUUUUUACAUGAUCUGGUUUCAACCGGGA
Molecule: ribosomal RNA, 554 nt
Filed under: Catacanthus sp. MRCPEN239
Lineage: Eukaryota; Metazoa; Arthropoda; Insecta; Hemiptera; Pentatomidae
Description: partial large subunit ribosomal RNA
Rfam family: Bacterial large subunit ribosomal RNA
Source: RNAcentral